UGCUUUAUUUAUUAUAUUUGUUACUGAAGUUCAUAAAUUUCCAGGAGAGAGAGGGACAACUCUGAAGCUGAAAGAGCUCAGCAUAUUAAGCAACUUCAUGAACUUCAGGAACAUAUUCAAGAGAAAGAACAUCAGUUUAUGGAAUUGCAGGAACAGAACAGAAUUGCAAAGGAAACCAUUCUUUACAAAGA
Ipomoea nil (Japanese morning glory) is the source of this 191-nucleotide long non-coding RNA. RefSeq lists it as uncharacterized. The transcript is spliced from 2 exons. Lineage: Eukaryota; Viridiplantae; Streptophyta; Magnoliopsida; Solanales; Convolvulaceae. The record is from RefSeq and is a predicted model, not a curated record.